This 235-nucleotide ribosomal RNA is filed under the name uncultured bacterium. RNAcentral's name for it is "partial 16S ribosomal RNA". It matches the Rfam family "Bacterial small subunit ribosomal RNA", at positions 534 to 769 of the family's 1533-position model. The record is from RNAcentral.
CUAAGCGUUAUCCGGAUUACUGGGCGUAAAGCGUGCGCAGGCGGUUAUGUAAGACAGAUGUGAAAUCCCCGGGCUCAACCUGGGAACUGCAUUUGUGACUGCAUGGCUAGAGUACGGUAGAGGGGGAUGGAAUUCCGCGUGUAGCAGUGAAAUGCGUAGAUAUGCGGAGGAACACCGAUGGCGAAGGCAAUCCCCUGGGCCUGCACUGACGCUCAUGCACGAAAGCGUGGGGAGC